RNAcentral lists this long non-coding RNA (293 nucleotides) under Panax ginseng (ginseng). RNAcentral's name for it is "long non-coding RNA (PGIN_LNC010203)". The record is from RNAcentral. Lineage: Eukaryota; Viridiplantae; Streptophyta; Magnoliopsida; Apiales; Araliaceae.
GAAUUCUGCGGACCGUUAUAAAUAUGAGCCGUUUGGUUGUUCCUACACUAGUUCUAUUUCUUUUACAAGAAUUAAUAAUUCAAAAAUACUGUGCAAUACUGUGUGUUACUGUGCAACCACAUGUAUUACUGUAUUUUAACCGCCGGGUAUUCCAAUAGUGUUAACGGUAACAAUUAUGUCGUUAUUUGUAAAAACUCAAACUUGUCAUUUGUUUUAUCCGACCGUUUUUUUAUGGGGCCCACAAAUGAAUGCGCCAUCGUACGAAUAUUCCACGACCAAACGAAUAUUUUUCG